Molecule: ribosomal RNA, 41 nt
Filed under: Lentaria patouillardii
Lineage: Eukaryota; Fungi; Basidiomycota; Agaricomycetes; Gomphales; Lentariaceae
Also listed under: 2 other names
Description: partial 28S ribosomal RNA
Source: RNAcentral
UCAUCUGACCUCAAAUCAGGUAGGACUACCCGCUGAACUUA